Molecule: long non-coding RNA, 500 nt
Organism: Scylla paramamosain (green mud crab)
Lineage: Eukaryota; Metazoa; Arthropoda; Malacostraca; Decapoda; Portunidae
Exons: 4
Source: RefSeq, a predicted model, not a curated record
CAAGAAGGCUUGAUGUUGGUGGCGUCGAGUGGCAAGUCUCGGUCAGCCACGUGCAGGGUAAAGGUAGUGAUAAAGUAGAGCGUGUAGACUUGACUCCCGCCGUGACCCUGUCUAGUUAAUCAGCACAAAUGAUGAGGGGAAAGAAAGGAGGGGAGGAAGGGAGGUGUAAGUACGUUGCCUUAAACCUCUGCAUCCUUUAUGGCUCCUCUACCAUGUCCCACCGCCCGUCAUUACUGUCGCCCACUAUUUCUUAUCGCCCUAAGCCACCUCUCUCCAUCAUCCAGUCACCGCUGUCGACCGCCGCCAUCAGUUGACCUAUAAAUAUCAGUCACCCACGCACCUCCCCUCUUCUAGCGUCAUCCUCGAGAGACCCAGAAACUGUAGUCACCAUUGGUGAGAGUGCGUCGAGAUAGCAGCGGACAUUGUGCACCAGUGCGGCACGGGAGUACACAAACACUGGAGACGCUCCGGGACCAUACUGAUGCUGGAGAUCCCUCCUU